UACGGGAGGGUGCGAGCGUUAAUCGGAAUUACUGGGCGUAAAGCGUGCGUAGGUGGUGAGUUAAGUCUGUCGUGAAAGCCCCGGGCUCAACCUGGGAAUGGCGAUGGAUACUGGCUCGCUAGAGUGCGGUAGAGGAGAGUGGAAUUCCCGGUGUAGCAGUGAAAUGCGUAGAUAUCGGAAGGAACACCGGUGGCGAAAGCGGCGUGCUGGAUCCCUACUCGACGCUGAGGCACGAAAGCC
This 240-nucleotide ribosomal RNA is filed under the name uncultured bacterium. RNAcentral's name for it is "partial 16S ribosomal RNA". It matches the Rfam family "Bacterial small subunit ribosomal RNA", at positions 524 to 761 of the family's 1533-position model. The record is from RNAcentral.